GUGACAGUGAGUAAGCCCCAUGCAGUUUGCUGUGCACCAGUGUGAGGGUGACCUUGACAGGUGACUGCUGAGAGGAGGGACUGGCAAUGGCUUCAAGUUCAUGUGCACCAUUAGUGCCUGAGAAGCCAGAAGAGGAAGUUACAGAUCCUCUAGAACUCGGAAUAAGAUGGCAUUUGGGUGUUGAGAAUUGAACCCGGAUCCUCUGAAAGAGCAGCCAGUUCUCUUAACUGCUAAGCAGCCUCUCUAGGUCCUUUGAUUGUUUCUUUGAGACUGGGUCUCACUAGGUAGUGCUGGAACUCUCUACGUAGACCAGACUCAGAAUUCCACCUGCCUCUGCCUCUAGAAUACUGAAAUUAAAGGUUUGCACCAUCUCA
Mastomys coucha (southern multimammate mouse) is the source of this 374-nucleotide long non-coding RNA. RefSeq lists it as uncharacterized. The transcript is spliced from 2 exons. The record is from RefSeq and is a predicted model, not a curated record. Lineage: Eukaryota; Metazoa; Chordata; Mammalia; Rodentia; Muridae.